GACUUCCUAGUGCUUACCACAGGCUGUGUCUUUAUACCAGUUGUAUAGAAAGAGAAGGCACAGUAAAUGUACCCUAUAUAAUACACCUCAGCCCAGGCCUUUUGUUUGGUCUGUAUUGUUAAGGGGGUGAGGGGG
Suncus etruscus (white-toothed pygmy shrew) is the source of this 135-nucleotide small nucleolar RNA. RefSeq annotates it as small nucleolar RNA SNORA51. Lineage: Eukaryota; Metazoa; Chordata; Mammalia; Eulipotyphla; Soricidae. The transcript has a single exon. The record is from RefSeq and is a predicted model, not a curated record.